Delphinapterus leucas (beluga whale) is the source of this 560-nucleotide long non-coding RNA. RefSeq lists it as uncharacterized. Lineage: Eukaryota; Metazoa; Chordata; Mammalia; Artiodactyla; Monodontidae. The record is from RefSeq and is a predicted model, not a curated record.
CAUAAGGCUCACAUUUCUGACAUUACGAGGUUUCUGAUGGGUCAUUUUAAUCUAGGAGAUACACACCACUUCCCAAGAUUCCAAAGGAAGGAAAGAAAAAGAGGAGUUGAAAGAAGAGUUUGCACGAAGUAUGAAAAUCCUCCCUGCAGAUUUAAGGGUGAACCGUCUUGGUUUUAUCACUGGAUUACGGGUUCUCCUGACUAAGAGUGUUUUGGCUGCUCUGCCCUCAAGCAGAGAAUGCAGAUGUGGGACCUGCUGUAAAGGAUUUACAGAAAAUAGGAGAAGUCUGAGGAUGGCCACAGAUAAAUCAACAAGAAACAUCAGAUUCCUUCAUCAACUGGCCUCCUAGCAGUUGGGUGAGCUGUCGGAAGUUCAUGCCCGGUGAUGACCCACCUGCCCUCACCCCCCAGCAGGACUGGCCACCAUCUUGUCCCCUCUUCUGGCAGUCUCACAGACUCCACAUUUAAGAUUGCAGUGUCACAAGAUCAAAGGAUCCUGGAACCCUGGGACACGGCUUGAUAAGGAGCCACCCAAGAAAGCCAUCUGACCAGCAUGAUGUG